GUGAGCAGCUCUGGGAGCAUUUCUCACUAAUGCCCUGGGAUGAGUGAUGGGGGAGUGGGUGUCACUGCUGAGGAUGAGCUGGCCAUGCAUUACAAACAUUAUCUCCUCUUGGUUGCAGUGACUCACUCAGAUCCUCCUCUGAGAAGGAAUCACUUCACAGCACUCAGGAAUUGGAAGGAAAGGCCCAGAAAAACCUUCAAACCCAAGGAUUUGACAUCAGACCUGCUCUCAGAGUCCACAGCCACCAGCUGCCAGCUCCACCAGCUGAAGGAAAGACUGGCACAGCAAUCCCUGCUGCUGUUGCUGAACUUCCUUCUCUGUGCCCAAGAGCUUUCCCAGGGAAGAGGCUGCAGGAAGACAGAGGGCAAAUCCUGCACCAAAGAGCCUCCCUGUGUUCAAGGUGCUGAGAGUCCCAGUGAAAGGGGGAAGCCACUUCCAACAGCACGAAGAAAAGUCUGAGCUGGUCCAGAUAUUCCAAGCACAGAAGAAAGUGCUGAGAAUGGAAAGAGAAGCCAAGAGGCCAGAAGAGAAGAAGCAAGUGCAGGUUUUGGGGACAGCAAGGAUGCUGGGCUUGUGCUGACUGUGUGUUGAGAUGACACCAAACCUCUGCGAUUUGGGGCCGCUGGGACUCACCUGAAGAACUCUUCACCAGAUUAUCAGCUCCAAAAAACUUUCCUGAUUAACUUUGCCAAAAGGCUGACCCUUCUUAGGCUACGAACCCUCCAGGCUGUCAAUGCUGUAACUCAUUUUUCCUGAGUUUUUCGGGGGGAGCUUCAUUUCAUGCGGGUACAAGUUUCAAACCUCAAAGGGCUCCGGAGGUUCGGAGAAGCAUCCCGGUGUUCCUGAUGCUUGUCUGAACUCUUGGAGCCUGCACAACUGUCUUGCCAGAGAGGAGAGUGUUGGGAGGCAGCAGGAGCUCUCUGGAUCUGCAUGGGCCAGAGUUACUGCAAGAACUGGGGUUCUUGUGCUGACUCUGGGGGGACUGUUUCCAUCCAGACCCAGGGAGCCCAAAGGGACGAGUGAGUUGGACGAGGCAGUUUUGCUUCACAUCUCAGCUCAAGGGGUCCAGUUGGUUCCUCUCUCUUCCAGAGCCAACUGUCCUGGGGGUGUGUGGGUGUGUGUGGGUGUUGCUGUGGGGGUGUGUGUCGGGCAAACAAAUCCACCUCAGCCCAGUUCUGGGGUGGACCCAGGGUACAUUCCAACAAGGCUCAGCAAAAAUGUCCGGGACCAGAAAAUUCUGGAAAACCAUGUCAAGCCAGACUCCACAGGCAUCAUCUCAAGGUCAGAAUGAUGUUUGAUUUUGAGGUGCUUAAUUUUCACAGUCCCUUUCAAGGGACUUGACUGCCUCAAUAGGCAUUUUAUUUUUUUUUCCCAUAGGCUUUCCUGCCUUUUUAAUGAAUUAGCCUGUCUGUGCUACUUGGUUGUUUGGUCCUGAGGUUUAUACAUUUUCAGCUGCCUUUUUGGAGUGUGAAGAACUGAAUCUCCUGGACUGAUUUUAUUUCACCUGUUGCUCCUGGCAAACUGGAGCUUUACUUGUAGCACCCUGGUUUAUAUUACCAGCCUCCCCAGGAAGGGCUGGUAGUUUAUUUUCCUGGGGCAGAGCCACACGAAUGAAGAAGUGUGUAUGUGUUUUGUCUCUGAAACUUCAGCAGAUUUCAACCACUGCGGUUUUUUUUUCCUCCUUAGAUGGUUUUACAUUUGAACUCUGACAAAACUUCUUUAGAGUUUUUAUUUUUACUAGAGAUCUUCUUAAUUCAAGCAACCUUGUACAAAAGGCAAACCCAUUGAAUCGCUGCAGGUUGUAGGGGUUGAAGCCAAAGGUCUUUGUAAGCCGACAUCACCUGCCCUGGAUCUGACUGUAUCAGGCAGUUUAUUCCUCAUGUGUCAUGUUGGAGCUACAAGAUCACCCCAAGCCACUAGAACCUGUCAAUAGAAUAGUGCUACACUCUAUUUGCUAUUGUAGCAAAGCCUUUUGUAGAUUUAUACAAUAAAACUUUGAAAUAUU
Manacus vitellinus (golden-collared manakin) is the source of this 2005-nucleotide long non-coding RNA. Lineage: Eukaryota; Metazoa; Chordata; Aves; Passeriformes; Pipridae. The record is from Ensembl.